AUUUAUCUAACUGGUCUGAAAUGCAUUUUUAUGAAUGUUUAGCAUUUAUUUAUUGCAAAUUAAGGUUCAUAUUUUCAGUUUUUUGAUAUUUGGAAGAACUUGCAAACUUGGGAACUCAUUAACCAAGAACUACCUGUAUAUCAUUUGCUACUAUUGUGAUUUCAAGUAUCUGAGACAGGGCUUGGAACUUAUUUAUUGUAGAUAUGGGAUCCUACUGUAUACUCAUAUAGAUUUAUAAGAAGAAAAAUUCAUUGGGAAAUCAAAACAAAAUUGAAUUUUAAUCUAUAAAUCUUUAUUUGAAAAAAAUUAAUGCUAAGACUUUAAAUAAAGUAUAAUGCUAAAGUUAAAUUUCAUUUAUACAAAUGAAUACUGAGGAUACUGAGGCCAGG
RNAcentral lists this long non-coding RNA (389 nucleotides) under Androctonus crassicauda. Lineage: Eukaryota; Metazoa; Arthropoda; Arachnida; Scorpiones; Buthidae. The record is from RNAcentral.